This 254-nucleotide ribosomal RNA is filed under the name uncultured bacterium. RNAcentral's name for it is "partial 16S ribosomal RNA". It matches the Rfam family "Bacterial small subunit ribosomal RNA", at positions 524 to 776 of the family's 1533-position model. The record is from RNAcentral.
UACAGAGGGUGCUAGCGUUGUUCGGAAUUACUGGGCGUAAAGAGCGCGCAGGCGGCUGGUCAAGUCCGAUGUGAAAGCUCCCGGCUUAACUGGGAAAUUGCAUCGGAAACUGAUCGGCUUGAGUUUGGGAGAGGGAUGCGGAAUUCCAGGUGUAGCGGUGAAAUGCGUAGAUAUCUGGAGGAACACCGGUGGCGAAGGCGGCAUCCUGGACCAACACUGACGCUGAGUGAGCGAAAGCCAGGGGAGCAAACGGG